UCCAAAUAGUCGGUGUCUAUGGUGUCAGUC
This 30-nucleotide non-coding RNA is filed under the name Homo sapiens (human). Lineage: Eukaryota; Metazoa; Chordata; Mammalia; Primates; Hominidae. The record is from RNAcentral.